This 2950-nucleotide long non-coding RNA is filed under the name Sus scrofa (pig). Its description in RNAcentral is "lncRNA (ENSSSCG00025036571.1)". Lineage: Eukaryota; Metazoa; Chordata; Mammalia; Artiodactyla; Suidae. The record is from RNAcentral.
UAGGGGUCUAAUCGGAGCUGUAGCCACUGGCCUGCGCCACAGCCACAGCAACGAGGCAUCCAAGCCGUGUCUGCAACCCACACCACAGCUCGCGGCAACGCCGGAUCCUCAACCCACUGAGCAAGGCCAGGGAGUGAACCUGCAACCUCAUGGUUCCUAGUCGGAUUCGUUAACCACUGUGCCACAACGGGAACUCCUUAGUUCCUAUUCUUAAUGAAAACAUUUUCUGCCUGAAUUUUUUAGUGUGGCGUUAUUAAACAAUGAAAACAUCUUUUCCAUACUUUUCAAAGUCUACCAGUUCCCUAUAUGUUUUGUUGGUUUGUACUAUAAAUGAACUCUAAAUAUUUUAGGAAAAAGUUUUAUGAUAGAUAAGUUCUUUUUAAAAUUUAGCACCUAAUUUUUUAAAAAUCAAAAUGAAAAAUUUCUUGCAUAAAGGGGAACGUUUACCUUUUACUUUGUUUUUCUUCCAUGUGGUAAAUCUUUUCAUUUACAAAGGAAGUGUGCUUACAGAAUUACUAAGGUGGUUUUUAGAAAGCAGUAAUCAUAGAAACCCCGUCCGUGCUUGCCCUAAUCUGUCUCCCCAAAGCCCUUGGUCUGAAAGCCAGCCGUGGCUCUUGUCCUUAUUACAUGUGACUCGUGGAACAGGAUUGUGCUGUUCACUGUGUACACUGGCACGGUGCCCUAGCAGCCCCUGUCAUGCUGCCUCAACAUCACGAAGCUGUUUGUGAGUUUUACACCGUAUUGUAUACUAUAUUACAGUGUAUUUACUCUAUUGAUAACUUACAGAAUAUCUGUAGUAUUUCUGCAUAAUCUAUAAAAAUACGACAUUAGAAAAUCUAGGGACUGUAAAUAUGAAAACAUGAAAAAAAGUUCUUUGGCACAAAAUCCCCUGCAAAAUAUGAAUAAUAUUUGCAUUGAGAGCCAUGAGAUUAAAUAUGCUUCAUUUUAUUUAAAAAUACUUUGGGCGAGGCUGACUAGGUAUGGCAAUUUGGUUAAUUUUAGUGCCAAGUAUGAAUAAUACUUGCACUGAGAGCCGUGAGAUUAAAUAUGCUUCAUUUUAUUUAAAAAUACUUUGGGCGAGGCUAAAUGGGUAUGGCGAUUUGGUUAAUUUUAGUGCAAAAUAUGAAUAAUAUUUGCAUUAAGAGCCAUGAGAUUAAAUAUGCUUCAUUUUAUUUAAAAAUACUUUGGGCGAGGCUGACUAGGUAUGGCAAUUUGGUUAAUUUUAGUGCCAAGUAUGAAUAAUACUUGAACUGAGAGCCGUGAGAUUAAAUAUGCUUCAUUUUAUUAAAAAAUACUUUGGGCUAGGCUAACUAGGUAUGGCGAUUUGGUUAAUUUUAGUGCUUUUUUUAUUUUUAUUAUUUUUGGCUGUGCCUGUGGCACACGGAAUUUCCUGGGGUCUAACCCGCACCUCAGCAGCAACCCAAGCCUCUGCAGUGACAGCGCUGGAUCCCUGACCCGUUGUGCCAUGAGAGAGCUCCCAGGUGCUUAGUUUUAAUGACUUUUGUAGAUAAAAAUGUUAUUUUCACAAAAGUGUGUAGAUCUAAGUGGAAGAAAUAAAUCAUUGGCUGCAGUUCAAAGUCAUGAGCUUCAUUUUUGAAUCAUGCCCGCUAAUUAUGCAAAAGUUUUCAUUUAACUUGGGCUGUUAAAUGUGCAUUGUCCCUGAUGUCAGUCAGGUCUUGCCCCUUAAUCGGAAGGUUGCAUCUUGUAAGGAUAGCUUCGGAAUCCACUCAACCCUCUUCGUUUGGAAGUUUUUUAAAGAAACGGGGAAAAUUGUUUCCAGUUAACAUUGCACAUAUUAGAGUUUUUAAUAAGAGACUCAUCAAUUUUGGCAACAAAAUCACAGAGCAGCAGAAACAAAUCCUGGAGGUCAGGGCCUGGGAGAGUCCCUCUGCCUGCCUCCCUGAGCCUCUUGGGCCCAAAACCCAGUUCUCUGUCAGUUCCACCCAUUGUUUUCCUGGUUCUGCUCAGUCUGGACAUGAUAGUCCUUAAACAACAGGACAAGGUUAACCCCUGUCCUGAGUUUUCAUUUCUCCUCAGACCUGAACUAGUUCCUGACUUGUGAUAUGAUGUGCGUGUGUCACUGUCUUUGAUUUCCCUGUGCCAGGUCCACCGCAGGUCCCCCAGCUCUGGUGGAGAACUCACCCUGGGGCGGUGCCGGUGUCAUACUGGCCUCAGGGAGCUGCCACUCAGCCAGGACGCUUUUGCCGACCUCUCCGUGUUCAUGGAGGGAUAGAACUGUUCAGCUAAACAUCCAACAGCUUUCAAGCUUUGAAGAUGAAAAGGACAGGCUGGAAACUUUCCAUGACAAGUUGCUGAGCCGGGAAGUGAAUCUGCAAUCCUUCCGGUGUCCUAAGGACCUCACGCCAGAGAGAAGUGCGUGGUUGGAAAAUGACAGCCCUGUAUUCCCCGGAUUGAGGCGGUCACCCAGCGGCUCGGUAGUUCUCAGUUAGCAGUGAGCGGUCCCACCGUGGACACCAGCUCUACCUCCUGGAAAAGCCAAGUGGAGAAGGCAGCUGAGAGGCUGGACAGUGCCCGCAUCAGCGGCACCUGGAAGGGAGAAGGUAGCCUUGGUUGGAAAACGGGCAGCUCAUGUGUCAGCGAACGACAAAGCUGAACAAUGAAAGGUCUCAUGUAGAAGAACUUGACUGUAAUACAAACUUACUAUAUUAAUGUUUUAUCUUCUCAGUGCAAACAGAAAAGUAAUCGUCCGCCCAUUUGUCACGCUCAACAGAGCUUUAAGAGAGGUUAACGCAGACCAUUCAGCAUCAUCUAUGAAAGAAUUACAUUUCGCAAUAGUGAGUAAAAGGAAAAAACAUGAACAACAAAGGAUGGUAUUCUUCCCCACCAAUUAUUUCCAUGCUCAGUCUGCACUAAUAGUUACAAGCGGAGAAAAAAGGCAACGUUAAAAGCGCUUAAAAUUUAGGAUAUAAUAGAAUGGUUUCGUCUUGCG